RNAcentral lists this long non-coding RNA (1002 nucleotides) under Monodelphis domestica (gray short-tailed opossum). Its description in RNAcentral is "lncRNA (ENSMODG00000040276.1)". Lineage: Eukaryota; Metazoa; Chordata; Mammalia; Didelphimorphia; Didelphidae. The record is from RNAcentral.
AUGUGUGUGCGUGUGCGCCUGUUUCCGCAGGUGGCCCUGGGAAUGCAGGAUGAAGGGGAUGGUCUCACACUGACCCCUUCUCCCUCCAGCCCUUUCCUUUCAGACCCUUACCUCCUGGGUGCCAGCUCAGUGUCCCCCUUCCCCGCACUGCAGCUGCUGCUCCCCGUGACCUGCUGUGCUGGGGAGGAUUGUCUUGUGUCUCCCUCCUGCCCCCGCCACCCUGAGGAAGGGAAGGUCGGACGGCCCCGAGGCCUUUUUGAGAACGCAGGGUGGGUCCCUUUUUGCACUGGGCUCCAUGGUGAGAGGCAGGUUGGCCUGGACAGAGGCCCCAACGAGGGCCAGGCGGUGGGAGGGGAAAGACCUUACUUUGAGCUUUCCAUAAAGGGCUACAAAACUGAUCCCGUUAUCUUGAGUGCUCAGGCCCCUCCUGUGCCCAUGCCACCCCGAUUUGCACUAAUCACUUCUGCCUUUGUGGGGGGAGGCUUGGCCCUUCACAGCUCUCCCCUCCUGGGCUGGGGUGUGCCAGGGGCAGCAGUUCCUCCUGCCUCCCCCACCUCCAGCCCAGGAAGUGGCCAGGCAUGUACCAUGGCCUUUGGAAGCCACGAAGCCUCACCAUAUAGCCGUUUCUUGGUUCCCGUCCACUUUGGUGAGCUGUGGUCUGAGAGGCUGGGACAGGUGCCUCCUGGGGUCGUGUGGCUUUCCCCCCAGCCUGACCAGAUGCAGGGAGUGAAGGGAGAGUCCAGGAAGGGAAAUGAGCUCUUGGGGCACCAGCUGGGCUUUUCCCCCUUGUGGGCCAGGAGGCUGCUGUUCUCUCUGGGGGUGGGGGGCUGUUCUGGGACUGGCCAUGGAGGGCCAUGGUGCUGCUUAGCGCCAUGGGACACUCCUCUUCCCGCCUUCCCCCAAAGGGACAUGACUUGCUUUAUGGACUGUUUGUAUUAUUUGGAAAAAAGUGGUGUCAAUAAAAGCCAAGCUGGGCCCCGGGCCCUCUUUGGGCUGAACUGA